AUUAAUCUAGUAUAAUACAUUACACACAAUUUCCACUUGUGAGAUUUAAACCUUAAGAUUAAUA
This 64-nucleotide transfer RNA is filed under the name Eurytemora affinis. RNAcentral's name for it is "tRNA-Gly". The record is from RNAcentral. Lineage: Eukaryota; Metazoa; Arthropoda; Copepoda; Calanoida; Temoridae.